UACGUAGGGUGCGAGCGUUGUCCGGAAUUAUUGGGCGUAAAGAGCUUGUAGGCGGUUUGUCGCGUCUGCUGUGAAAAUCCGGGGCUCAACCCCGGACUUGCAGUGGGUACGGGCAGGCUGGAGUUCGGUAGGGGAGACUGGAAUUCCUGGUGUAGCGGUGAAAUGCGCAGAUAUCAGGAGGAACACCGGUGGCGAAGGCGGGUCGCUGGGCCGAUACUGACGCUGAGGAGCGAAAGCGUGGGGAGCGAACAGG
Molecule: ribosomal RNA, 253 nt
Filed under: uncultured bacterium
Lineage: Bacteria
Description: partial 16S ribosomal RNA
Rfam family: Bacterial small subunit ribosomal RNA
Source: RNAcentral